UGGGGGAUAUUGCACAAUGGGGGGAACCCUGAUGCAGCGACGCCGCGUGGGUGAAGAAGUAUUUCGGUAUGUAAAGCCCUAUCAGCAGGGAAGAUGAUGACGGUACCUGACUAAGAAGCCCCGGCUAACUACGUGCCAGCAGCCGCGGUAAUACGUAGGGGGCAAGCGUUAUCCGGAUUUACUGGGUGUAAAGGGAGCGCAGGCGGUGCGGCAAGUCAGAUGUGAAAACCCCGGGCUCAACCCGGGGACUGCAUUUGAAACUGCCGGGCUAGAGUGUGGGAGAGGCAGGCGGAAUUCCUAGUGUAGCGGUGAAAUGCGUAGAUAUUAGGAGGAACACCAGUGGCGAAGGCGGCCUGCUGGACCAAGACUGACGCUGAGGCUCGAAAGCGUGGGGAGCAAACAGG
RNAcentral lists this ribosomal RNA (404 nucleotides) under uncultured bacterium. Its description in RNAcentral is "bacterial SSU rRNA". It matches the Rfam family "Bacterial small subunit ribosomal RNA", at positions 355 to 776 of the family's 1533-position model. The record is from RNAcentral.